Molecule: non-coding RNA, 72 nt
Organism: Danionella cerebrum
Lineage: Eukaryota; Metazoa; Chordata; Actinopteri; Cypriniformes; Danionidae
Source: the annotation of a GenBank genome assembly
GGCUCGUUGGUCUAGAGGUAUGAUUCUUGCUUUGGGUACGAGAGGUCCUGUGUUCAAAUCCCCAACGACCUC